AGUUGGGCUAGGGGGAGUGUUGACGUGCUCUAUCAUUCACAAAUCGUCGAUAAUGGUGACCUGAAGUCCGAGGGCGGCGCAGACGAGCCAGCAAUGAACCAUCGGUUAACGUCGAUACCUCGCCCCCAAGAGAUGCAGGUUGGCGGAGGUCGCUUCCGGAGGGAAGCGAGGCCCGUCUUACGCCCGGGAAUCAGGUCAGGCGCGGAAGCGAGCAGCCCGACCGGGGAUGCUGGAUGCCUUGGGAUUGCGGGGUGGAGGAGAUCGAUGAAUAUUCAAUGUUGGUGACGAGCGUCCACCGAGGACAUGCCCACCU
This 313-nucleotide signal recognition particle RNA is filed under the name Candidatus Thalassarchaeaceae archaeon. RNAcentral's name for it is "signal recognition particle sRNA". It matches the Rfam family "Archaeal signal recognition particle RNA". Lineage: Archaea; Methanobacteriati; Thermoplasmatota; Candidatus Poseidoniia; Candidatus Poseidoniales; Candidatus Thalassarchaeaceae. The record is from RNAcentral.